GACGAACGCUGGCGGCGUGCUUAACACAUGCAAGUCGAACGGAAAGGCCCUUCGGGGUACUCGAGUGGCGAACGGGUGAGUAACACGUGGGUGAUCUGCCCUGCACUUUGGGAUAAGCCUGGGAAACUGGGUCUAAUACCGAAUAGGACCACGCGCUUCAUGGUGUGUGGUGGAAAGCUUUUGCGGUGUGGGGUGGGCCCGCGGCCGAUCAGCGUGUUGGUGGGGUAAUGGCCUACCAAGGCGACGACGGGCAGCCGGCCGGGGGGGGUGACCGGCCACGCUGGGACUGGGAUACGGGCGAGACUGCUACGGGAGGCAGCGGUGGGGAAUAUUGCACAAUGGGCGCAAGCCUGAUGCAGCGACGCCGCGUGGGGGAUGACGGCCGUCGGGUGGUAAACCUCGUUCACCAGGGACGAAGCGUAAGUGAGGGUACCUGGAGAAGAAGCACCGGCCAACUACGUG
Molecule: ribosomal RNA, 462 nt
Filed under: uncultured bacterium
Lineage: Bacteria
Description: partial 16S ribosomal RNA
Rfam family: Bacterial small subunit ribosomal RNA
Source: RNAcentral